GGGGAAUAUUGCACAAUGGAGGAAACUCUGAUGCAGCGACGCCGCGUGAACGAUGAAGGCUUUCGGGUCGUAAAGUUCUGUCCUAGGGGACGAUAAUGACGGUACCCUAGGAGGAAGCCCCGGCUAACUACGUGCCAGCAGCCGCGGUAAUACGUAGGGGGCGAGCGUUGUCCGGAUUUAUUGGGCGUAAAGGGUUCGCAGGCGGUCUCUUAAGUUAGAUGUGAAAGAUCACGGCUCAACCGUGGUAAGCAUUUAAAACUGGGAGACUUGAGUUAAGGAGAGGAAAGUGGAAUUCCUAGUGUAGCGGUGAAAUGCGUAGAUAUUAGGAGGAAUACCAGUGGCGAAGGCGACUUUCUGGACUUAUACUGACGCUGAGGAACGAAAGCGUGGGGAGCAAAC
This 399-nucleotide ribosomal RNA is filed under the name uncultured bacterium. RNAcentral describes it as "bacterial SSU rRNA". It matches the Rfam family "Bacterial small subunit ribosomal RNA", at positions 356 to 773 of the family's 1533-position model. The record is from RNAcentral.